AGAAUCAACGCUGGCGGCGUGCCUAACACAUGCAAGUCGAACGAGAAAGUGGGAGCAAUCCCACGAGUAAAGUGGCGCACGGGUGAGUAACACGUGACUAACCUACCCUUGAGUGGGGGAUAACCUAGGGAAACCUGGGCUAAUACCGCAUAAUACCUACGGGUCAAAGGAGCAAUUCGCUUUAGGAGGGGGUCGCGGCAGAUUAGUUAGUUGGCGGGGUAAUGGCCCACCAAGACAGUGAUCUGUAUCCGGCCUGAGAGGGCGCACGGACACACUGGAACUGAAACACGGUCCAGACUCCUACGGGAGGCAGCAGUGGGGAAUUUGCGCAAUGGGGAAACCCUGACGCAGCAACGCCGCGUGGAGGAUGAAGCCCCUUGGGGCGUAAACUCCUUUCGAUCGGGAAGAUAAUGACGGUACCGGAAGAAGAAGCCCCGGCUAACUUCGUGCCAGCAGCCGC
Molecule: ribosomal RNA, 460 nt
Filed under: uncultured bacterium
Lineage: Bacteria
Description: SSU rRNA
Rfam family: Bacterial small subunit ribosomal RNA
Source: RNAcentral